CUCCACUGUAAUAUUCCUGCUCUCCCAAAUAAUGAUCAUCAUUGCAAUAGUCUUGGACUUCAUGUUCUUCACGACAAAUAGUAGGUCGACGCCCAUCACCAGUUUCAGAUCUGAGAAACCUAGAUUCCCAUAGAUGAACAUGCACCAGCCUCCUCAGAAAGGGACGUGUCUUUGUUUUUGAGAACACUUUGGUGGGAUUCUCUCCUGUUCUCCCAGAGCACUGGUUUGCAACAGGCGUCACUCAGACAGGAUGGAGUGCCAUGCAACAGCUUGCAAGCAUAACUCAAGCUUAAGAAAGAUGAGAUGAACCAGUCCAAUGGUUAUUUAGCAAACCAGUGACACACACAGCGCUGAACAACAUAAUUACAUGAGAAACCCAGGCAUGCCUUCAAUUAGGCCUCCCCAUAAAUGCACGAGAUGAUUCAAAUGAGGAUGGUAAUUCUGAGCAGCUGUGCUUCAGGGGGCACAACAGCACCUGCAGGGUCCUCAGGAUGGCACGAGGCACGGGGACUCCAGUGCUGGGUCCUAAACAGCAUCUCAAGAGACAAGGAAUGAUGCCCCUGUCUCUGACACACCAUUGACAUGACAUGUAUGUGAUUCCAAAUGUUGGAAUAA
Empidonax traillii (willow flycatcher) is the source of this 615-nucleotide long non-coding RNA. RefSeq lists it as uncharacterized. The record is from RefSeq and is a predicted model, not a curated record. NCBI's taxonomy places the organism in Eukaryota, Metazoa, Chordata, Aves, Passeriformes, Tyrannidae. The transcript is spliced from 3 exons.